UCAUAGCAGGCUGUCCCAUUUCAUAAGGGUCAAAAUAAAAAUACCAUAUGACACAGAGGGUCUGAUCUACUAAGACUCCAAAUAAGGAGCGCUGAUUUGCUUGUGCAAUUAGUGGGUGUGUUGCGUGGGAUCUACAAAGGUGCAAAAGUGGUGCGGACCACCCUAUUUAAAUGACAAUUUUGUGAGUGCUCCUGGCUGUCACCAUGGGUUUGGGAGAGCAAAGUGGCCACAAAAGAAAGAUGAAAUUGACACUACGAUACGAAGUUUGAGAUAAAAAUAACAUGGUUUUUUUAAUGCACUUUAUAUUUAAGUAUCUCAAAGUGCUACAAAAUUGUAAAAAAAACAUUUAAAAAUGCAAAAGCUAAAAUAUAAUUUAUAAAACAUAGAAAAGCUGACUUUAACAGCUCCGGCUUCCUUGCCCCAUGUUUUGUUUCGUGUUCUUUAAUUGCUUAAAGAUUGUCUACAGUCCCACUGCACUGACCUAUCUCAAGCAGACGUCUUUUUUCCCCAAGCGUAUGUUUUCAUGAAUAUGUUAUGGAACAUGCAGCAGACAACUAUAAUCUGCACCACCUUUUCUGGCCUUCAUAGAAGCACUCCUACAGUGCAAUCCAGACAAUGGUGUGGUGUAAUAACGUAAUGGUGGGCUGGGAUUAUAUGGUAAUCUGCAGCUGAACAAUGGCAUUGCUGGAUAGAUGAUAUGUCUCUACUGUUUUCCUUUCUUUUUUUUAUGUAUUUUUUCACAUUUUUCAGAUAGUAAGCUGACAGGAAAGGGGUGGAGAGUGGGGAAAGACAUGCAGCAAAGGUCUUCCCUCCGUCAGGUAUUUCUGACAAUUGAAACUACACACUUGAAGUUGGGGAGUACUUCCAGGACCGGAAACACCAAGAUUUUUUUUUCUAUUUUUAUUAAUGUGUUGUUAAACAUUGGAACCAUGCAAGCUGUGCACUGCCAAGAAGAAGCUUUCUCAAUAUCACCAAAGACAAAGAUCUGUUGGUUUACAAAAAAAAAAACUAACUGUUCGAGAAUCAAAUAUUUCUGACCAGACGUACUACAUUCCUCUUCUGCGGCAGCACCUCUGUCACUGAGUUGCUGGUAACGCAGUGAAGGCAGAAUAUCUCCAAGGCAGAUGGUGAAUUAUUAUUAGUAACAAAAAGACAAACCCAAAAAGUUAUCCAUUUUAUAUCACAGACAAUUAAAACAUAAUGUAAAAUUGCUGGACUUAUAUCUCAUGCAUAUUAUUGAGUGUGCUUAUUUGUAGCUUUUCUAACAAUAACAAUGUGUCACUAAUGCAUAGCUCCUGAGUUUGGGUAAUAUAUGCCUGUCAAUCUCAGCUAAAAUAAGUCUAAAUUUAAACUUGGAAUAAACAUCUAAAACUGAAUUUAGACACUGAAAAUUACUUUGACUUUUAGACCACAUACAUUUGUCUGUGGACCAUUUAGAUAUUUAGAAAUUUCAUAAAAAUUACACACUGGGUAUAUCUUAAACCUUUUGUCGAUGCUGGCAUUCCUUGGUAUGGUUUCUCUCUCCAUCAGUUAUUUUACAACAUUAUUUGUUAGUUGAUGUAAAAGUCUGUGUCUGUUCACAAAGAUUUCUGCAGAGACUAGAUGGAAAGGCAUAUAACCUACUGUGAAAUCUAUUUUUCCAGUUUUGAUGGGCUAAACUGAAAGCUAGGUGCACUCAGUAAACUCAUUUGCCAAGCACUCAAAUGAAGCCGCUGUUAUGUUAAUGUCAAGUUUAAACAGAUAUUCAUAGCCAUCAUCUUAUUACUACAACUUUGAUAAUGGAUAUAAUUUAAGUCAGCUAGGUAAUUGCUUUUUAUUUAGUGCAAAUUAACUUUUCCAUUAUUUUAUAUUGAUGACUGAAGCUACUGCCUGGAUCAUAUUGAGAAGCAAGUCUUUUGGAAUGAAUGAGAAGCUAAAAUCUUGUACAACAACAAAGAUCAAGGUAGGAGGUGUUUGGGUUGUACGAUACAAGGUUAUGUUUAGGCAACAAUUCUUUGAUUAAAUAAGGUUUAGGGUAAAUGAAAAAUUUGUAUUUGUGUGAAGUCAGGAUGAAUAUUUUCAGGUGUAAAUUGACAAGCAGUAUAAGGAACCUUUGUAAUGCUUAUUGAGCCUGAGUGCAGAUUUCCAUAUGAUUACAUUUGAAAGAGGUGCUCAACAAAUGUGGCUUUCGGCUCUCAGUGUGUUUGCAUUCCUGUCAAGAAUACAAAACACGCUUUAAUGUUUGUAUUGUAUUUGCUUCAGCCUCUUAAACCAAAACAAAAAAAGAACACAAAAAAAGAAAAUGAAAGUUUUUAAAAUGCAAGCAUAUUUUCUUGAAUCCUAAAGAUGGACAGAACUGACCAUUUUGUCUUGCACACACUACAGAGAGUUCUAGUUUGUGUUCUGUUUGGCUUCAGUCUUCAGUGGAUAAAUUGCAGUGAAUUAAAUUGCUAUAGUUAUUGCAGUGAUCGCAUCAGUUGAGUUGUCAUGGAGUGAAGAGACAUUUUGUGGAACAUGAUUUUGUGAAAUGAAGUAUUUGUCAACUGCAAGUUAAUGUUGCUAUUGUUCAUUGGUGUUGUUGUUUACUGUCUUCAAGGCAGCUUUUGCUGUUGAAUGUCCCCAAAUAUAAAUAAUUUCUGAAUCCUAAUUCAGAGUGGUGCAUUUGUGCAUUUCCCCUGCCUGCUCAUCUGUAUAGCAUUAUUAACAUUUAUUCAGAAUUGUACAAAAUUUAAAUGUUUGGUAUACACUCAACUAUACACUAAACUGAUGUUUUGUGAGAAAAAAAGCAUUGAUGUUGUGCUUUUGUACAUGCUAUGUCUCUAAGCAGCCUGUUCAGCCCCUGAGAUGAAUGUUAAAGGUUAGAGAACCAUUCAAGGGCACAGUUAGAUUUACUGGAAUGGUCACAGUUGCCAGGUCACCAUUGCCUUAAGGUGUUAUGAAUGUACAGUUGUGGUACGUCUGUGUAAAUGUUUGUAUAAAAGUUCUUUAUACAUGUAUCUGUGCAUACAACAUCUGGCAAAAGGAAUUAUCAUCCUUAAAGGAUGUUGAUCUUUUUUAUGUUUUAGACAACAAAACUCUACCAUAUAUGAUACAAAAAACAUUAAAGAAUGAAACCAUUUGGCUGAGGUUAAGCUUUCUGGCCUGACUCUUCUUCACUGAAAACAACAUGCUUUGAAAACAGAACACACAGAAAGAAUGAAUGAAUGAGACACACACGUUUGAUGGUGGAUCAGUGAUGCAGACCUUAAUGUUGUAGCAGGUUCUCAAUGCUCUUUUGCAACACCGCUUUGUGCGCUACCUUUUAAAGGUUUGGCAGUGGAACAUAGAGUUCUGCACUGUAGUUUCAUACAUUAACAUUGUUCAUGUGAGCCAGUUUGAAACAGUGCUACAGUCGAUUCACAUAUAUACUGAAUCCAACGGCAGGUAGUGAAUGCUGGCAGUGUGGAUCUUGACCAGUACAUGUACUGGUACACCCCUAUUACAAAGUGCAAAGUAUUGUUUUAUAUGAGUGAAGUUUGUGUCUAAUAAUUUAUCCAUUCUUGAAAGCAUUUGAAAAUGAUUCCAUGUUUUAUUCCUUUUAUGCAGACAUUAUUUUUCUCUGCGUUUUUAGAGAAACCAAAACAAGGAAAUGAGAAAUUCCUUAAUUUUAUGAGCUACGUUAAAAUGUUUUGCCGUAUAGUAAAUAUUAAUAAUAGUAUUACGUCAUAUCUGUAGUUUGCUUUUUUUGAAACAUUUGACAGCUGAAUGAAUAUCGUCCAGAGAACUCAUUUUCUUUCAAUCUCUUUUGUAUUUAACAUUUUCUUGAUGAUUCUAUGAGUCACAGAAUCAUCAUCCAAAAUCAUCAUCCAAAAUCCCUCAUAGAUCCAAAAUCACUGCUCAUAUUGAAACCCUUUGCAAAUUUUAUUUCUUUGUUUAAUGAAAAGAAUGUAGAUAAUAGUGAGCAUUACUGUGUUUAUCAGGUGAACUGAAUUGACACAAUAUUUUCUAUGAUGUCUGAGGUUUCUAAUUCUGUUAUAGCAAAGAAAACAAUCUGUAAAAAUAUUGUAUGUUUUUAAUGAAAGUACCUAAUGCAUUCUUUAAAAGGUAUGUUUAUGCUGCUGACUUUGCAAGGCCCUGGGUGUUUGCUUGUGGUUUUCUUUGCAGCUUAGACCUGCUCUAGAUGGCAGAGGUUUGAGAGGUGUGCCUCUGCCAUGAUAGCAUAAAAUCAUUAUGUCGAUCAGCUUUGCCGUUUUACUUUACGUAGGUAUGGCAGAUGAGUGUCUCAGCAGGAGGCUCAUCUACUUCAUAUUUAUACAUUCCUCAAACAGAGAAUAUCAACAAUAACUCCUCUGGCUGUUAUCCUCCUAUAAAGUGUGCAUAAUUUCCACAAAUUACUCUUUAAUUCUUUCUGUCUUUCUCUGAAUCAAACAGUUUUGAAAUGUAUAUUCCGGUAAAUAUUUAGCCAGGCAACUAACGUUUUUUUGCUUUAAGUUUUUUGUGUUGUGUCAUGUAACGUAAUAAAGCAUGUCUGUUGAAAUAUAA
Molecule: long non-coding RNA, 4500 nt
Organism: Girardinichthys multiradiatus
Lineage: Eukaryota; Metazoa; Chordata; Actinopteri; Cyprinodontiformes; Goodeidae
Exons: 2
Source: RefSeq, a predicted model, not a curated record